UACGGAGGAUCCGAGCGUUAUCCGGAUUUAUUGGGUUUAAAGGGUGCGUAGGCAGUUUGAUAAGUUAGAGGUGAAAUGUCGGGGCUCAACCCCGAAACUGCCUCUAAUACUGUUGGACUAGAGAAUAGUUGCGGUAGGCGGAAUGUAUGGUGUAGCGGUGAAAUGCUUAGAGAUCAUACAGAACACCGAUUGCGAAGGCAGCUUACCAAACUAUAUCUGACGUUGAGGCACGAAAGCGUGGGUAGCAAACAGG
RNAcentral lists this ribosomal RNA (253 nucleotides) under uncultured bacterium. Its description in RNAcentral is "partial 16S ribosomal RNA". It matches the Rfam family "Bacterial small subunit ribosomal RNA", at positions 524 to 776 of the family's 1533-position model. The record is from RNAcentral.